AUCGACAUUCCACGAUAAAUUUCACUUUAAUUUAAAACUUAUAUACCGCCAUCUCAAGAAUAAAUUAAAAAUAUUUCUCUCAAAAAUAAAUAAAAAGUUAGGUCAAGGUUUAAUCUAUAUUAAAGAUUUAGAUGAAUUACAUUAAAUAUAAUUUAAAGAUUAUAAAUAAAUAUAAUUAUACAAAUAAGAAUUUAAAAGUAAUAUUAAAACAAUAUUAAAAUAUGAUAUAAAAAUUAAAUGUGCACACAUCGCCC
RNAcentral lists this ribosomal RNA (254 nucleotides) under Tonsilla lyrata. RNAcentral describes it as "partial 12S ribosomal RNA". The record is from RNAcentral. Lineage: Eukaryota; Metazoa; Arthropoda; Arachnida; Araneae; Agelenidae.